UCUUAUUAUAUAUACCAUUAUAACUUUAUUCUUUAGUAUUAAUUUAAGGAUUUACUUUAAUAAG
This 64-nucleotide transfer RNA is filed under the name Leptorhynchoides thecatus. RNAcentral describes it as "tRNA-Ser". The record is from RNAcentral. Lineage: Eukaryota; Metazoa; Acanthocephala; Palaeacanthocephala; Echinorhynchida; Rhadinorhynchidae.